This 5292-nucleotide long non-coding RNA is filed under the name Taeniopygia guttata (zebra finch). Its description in RNAcentral is "lncRNA (ENSTGUG00000023036.1)". The record is from RNAcentral. Lineage: Eukaryota; Metazoa; Chordata; Aves; Passeriformes; Estrildidae.
UUUUUUUUUUUUUUUUUUUUUUUUUUUUUAGCAAAAAAAAUUGGAUGGCCAGUGAAGAGAAGCAGCUUCUUCUGGGGCAUUAUUUGUUUAAUCACAAGGUAUUUCAAGCAGGUGAAAUACCCUGCACUCUGAGCAUGCUUGUGUUUUCCCACUGAGUAUAAGGGGAACUCAGGGUCAUUAGCUCAAAUGCAGACUGCUACACUGGAUGUAUCCGAAAAUAGAUGAGGGGAGACCUAAUGAGGGUGUGGUGACUUUCCCAGCCUAGUAAUGAUUCUUACUCAACAAGUGUUUGGUUUAAAUGGAAGAUGGUAAAUUCAGAGCAGUUUUUCCUUUCCUUUAAGUCUAACUUUAUUGUAAUCAUUUUAUAAAUAGGAUUUUGCUUCCAUGCAGUCCGUACAUGUAUCUCAUUUAAGGCAGUCACUUUAAUACUGCCUUACUAGUAAGAAAAGAGGCAUUUCUGAAGCCUGAUUCUUCUGACCCAUUUAAAACCCCUGUAUUAGGAUGAGGUGAAUUUCAGCAAAUUUAACUAUUUGCUGAAAACUGAAUCAAAACACUCGAUUCUGGGCAAUGCUGGCAACAGCUGUCUGUUUUUAGCCUUUGGAAAGGCUGAUACCACUGUGUCAGUUUCCUAUUUUGGUGGUUUCUGGGGGCUUAGCCCACUGUGCUGUGCAAACAUGCAGAAGCUGACAGCUCCCCUCUGAAGCCCACAGUACAUGAGGAGUGGUAACAGUGGAUGAAACAAAAAAGGAAAUAAGAUGACCUCUGCUCAGAUGCAGAGAUAAAAAUUAAGGCUAAUAAACCAUUAUUUCCCUUUGUUCUUGAAUAAAGUUUCUUUCACAGGCUUCUCUAAUAUAUGUGAAUUGAAAUUGGUUAAAAUUCAGGUUUCUUACAAUUUACAGCAAUAUAACUUUGUAUCUCUAAUGUCUUCUCCACUUUGGAAGGAGAUAAUUUCUGCUCAAAGGUCUUCAUGAACCUUUAAACCUGCAGUCAAUUUAAGGUCUUUAUAAAUGUUCUACUCAUUAAUGCUCCGGCUUUGGAGACAAGUCUUCCUGAGAGAUUUAAAACCACUUACAGCAAGACUAGUUAGUUGAAGGCAAAUUUUCAAGUGGUUCUUUUGAGUCAUCAACAGUUCAUGAUAGUUCAUCUUUUCUCUUGAAAGUUUCUGUGGAGGAGUACCAUGCAUCAGCAGGCAGCAGUGGGAGCCUGAUGAGGCAGAGGCAUAAAGCACAUUCAGCAUGGUAUGUAGACCACUUAUUUUCCUAUUAAAUAGUCAAAAGAAGAUGACUUUAUUGCCAGUUCUUGAGCAGCACCAGUAUUAAUGUGCUGUUUGCAUCUAGAGGUGACAGGAGCAGAUCUCACAUCCUGACUGUCUGAAGGCAUUCCAUGGCACUGCUGCUUGGGUGGCUCAGUCCCAUCCCCUUGCCUAGAGAAAGCUGCCCAGGUACAGCCCAGCAGUGGCUGUAGCAUUGCAAGGUGCAGCACGUGCAUGCCCUCCCCAUCAGCAGCUAUUCCACCGUGUUUACUCCUCAUCAGAAUGCUUCCUUGAGCUCAGACUGAAGGGUAAUGGAUCAGAAACAUAAAGGGCAGCUCUGGCCCAAAGUAGCAUCAGCUGGAGUUGAGAAAAUCCCUUCCAUGUCUCCAGCAGGUACUGUGUCAAGACUUUCACUGCCCUGAGCAGCCUUCUCCAAGCAGUCCCUGUCUGGAACGGGGUCUGAGACUUGAUGUCAUGGUGAGAUCCCUUCCAAUAUGCAUUAUCCUCUGGGUCUUGUUGAAGAUUCAGUGAUAGCUAGUUGCCACAGGAAGGAGCUUCCUGUUAGCACUUUCAGGAUGAAACAUGUUUCUCCUUAGUUAUUUCAUAUUAGUGUUCUCUCAGCAUAAAAUCAGCGCUCCAAACAUUUCUCGCUGUAAACGUCAUCUUACCACACCCCUCUUAAAAUGCAGAAAACAAGGCAUUUGUGACUGUAACCUUAUUUAAUCUGCCCUUGUUCUUCCUGACUUUGAACACCCACCUUUGUCUAUCAGCUCUCCAAAUGAAUCUCACUAGUGACUAAGGAGUUGCACAAACAGCUGGAUUUACAGAGGCAGCUCAGGCAGAGACUUUGCUUCUUGACUGCAUGAAAACAAUUAAUAAAAAAGCCUGAUCAAUUUAGGAACUUUAAAGGGGUAUCAAGUAUAAGACUAAUGUUCUUAGAUCAAGGCUGCUAUGUUACAACUAUAACUUUUAGGAAUACUUUAGCACUACAUGGUGCUCAUCAAAGGAAAGAAACGUUACAUCCUCUGUACUAUUCACCUCUUGCCCUGGUUCCCCAUAACCUAACCUAGUACAAGCAAAAUCAAACACAACAAAAAAAGAUCAAUGAGUCAUAAGGUAAUUAAAUACCAUUUUUCAAAGUUGAGAAGUGCUGCCUAAAAUGUAGAUUUAUAUGACGAGAGGGCCAUGUAUUUUAUAGGACAUGUGGGUAUUGGCUUUACUGAAAGAGCGUAGUUUUUGUUAAGAUAUUAGGCAGAAAUUCUUUAUUGUAAGGGUGGGGAGACACUGGCACAGAAAAAGCUGUCCCAGAGAUGCUGUGGAUGCCCCAUCCUCGGAAUUGUUCAAGGCCAGGUUGGAUGGGGCUUUGAGUAACCUGGUCUACAGGAGGGUGUCCCUGCCCAUGGCAGGAGGUUGGGACUUGAUCAUCUUUAAGGGUCACUUCUAACCCAAACUAUUUGAUAACAAUGAUGUCCCAGAUACCCACCAAGCCAGCAACAAGACUUCCUUGCUCUGGAGAAACCUGGAGAACAGGCUGUUACUUCAACAUCUGAACCCAACCCCUUUUGACUGGAGACCCCACUGAAGGGGCUGAGAAAAUUUUUAUAGGGGAUUUACAGUUUAUGGGUGUUCCACUAGCCAGAAAUGCACUGAGAUAGUGAAGAAACUGAGGAGGAGGAGGGAGCAUACAAGCAGAUAAGCCCAGUGGUCAUCGCUGGAGGUAUCAAGGCAGUACAUGCUCAGGCAGCCAUUCAAGGCCUGUUUUAAGAGCAGCUUGAAGUACCACAAUCCUUACUUGGGUUUUUCCUAUACACCCAGCCUGGGACAGUGUGCCAGCUUCCUGAUUAAGCCAUUUGAUACAGUGAGGCAAGUGGUGUCCCAUGUGCUCCAGAGAGUGAGCUCUGGUUGCAUUUGAGAACCACACUUGGAAGAUUACCCUCUGCCUUGCCACAAGACUCAUGAGGAACUCAGCUCUGGGUCACUGUUCAAGGACACUAUAAACACAUCCAGUACAUGCUCCUCAAAGAAAGAUGCAGUCUGAACAGAAACUGCAGAACUGAAAAUGUGGACUAUAUAGUGAGAGAGCAUCUAACCUGGGAAUUGCGACAAACCAGCUCAUUUCAAGAGCAGGUGGGAAAUUGCAGUGUCCAAAGGAAAACAGUCAGCAGGAACCUUCAUGAGAACUCCUGACUAUGAAAUCAGGCUCUUAACAGUGCGUAAGGAUGGACAAGUGUGCUUCCCUAAGAGCAAUUAAGAUGUCAAGUUACCGUGAAAAAAGAGCUGGACAGAGUUAGUCCUGUCUUGCAGCAAAUAGAGAGAUUCUGCGAGACUUUAGAUCUGUGAAUUAAGUUCUCAACCUGGAGGCUUCAUUCAGCCCACUGAAACAGGGCUUGUUCCUCAUGGCAGCUCCAUGAGUACCUUUCUGCAAGAUACAGGAAGCCUGAGUGGGCAUUUAGUCUUUGUUCAGUUAAGAGAAAGCACUUUGUGUCUCUAGGACAGACACACUUCUGCAUGUUGGGGACCAGCACAGAACACAGCCUUUUGUUUUUACCCAUCAUCUAUCCAUAGGAAGCUCCGGAACAGCCAGGAACAGACAGAAUCCUGUUACAUGUUCACCCUAGAGCUUUCCAGACACCCUGCCUAGGCAUGCCUUACACUACAUUGCCAUACUGAGGCCACAUUUCUCUGCCAGGGAGGUUAGGUACAUGAGAAUCCCAGCAAGAGGACACCUCCGCUUGCACCUGGGCCAUGCUUGCAAACUUGGUGCCUGUAUAGAUAACAAUUCUAAUUUGCAGGCCAUGUCUCUCAUGCAAGGUAGACGUAACCACUAUGUCCUCCAGAAUCAGCUACUCUUCCAUUACAGUCAAUGUGAACAUUGCAGCUAAUUGUGAACACAUUUUAGAUCGUCAUAGUGUUUUUAUUAUCCUUGGAUGCUGCUAUUUUAUAUUCUGUGUUAGUAUUCAAAUAAUAUUGCAUAUGAAUAGCAUAGGGUGAAAUAGACCAACCAGUUAAUAAUUUUAAAUACAGACCUCAUCAGCAAAGAAAAGCUAGAGAAAACUUGGUAAAAUCUGACCCCUUGCACUGUCAUAGUAGUGAGUGAGCACAUCAUAUUUCAAAGUGGUUUAUUUGAUGCUAAAGUGUGUGUUGUCUUAAUAAUUCAGUUAUAUCCAUGGGAAGCUUUGCAAACAAGAGCAAGGGAACAAACAUAAUGAUGAGCAGAGAUAACGUGCAUUCAGAUAAAUUUUCUUUACUUACUCAAGCAAUUGGAGUUUUUAAUUAUUUAUAAUACUUUUAAAGUACAAGUUAAAUGUACCACAGCCUUUCUGCAGAUAAGUUGGUGUUAGCAAUUUAAGUCUUCAUUUCAUGUCACCUCUGUAAUAUAAGUGGUGUUGAGAAGUGAGACAAGAAAGUGAAGAAACAGGCCUUUUUGUGUGGAUCAAUGAAGCAGUUAAGUUGCAAAGCUCUAUGCAGAGGGCUAAAAUGGUGGAUUUGAUCAAGGAGUGUUAACUAUGGGGUUGUGUCAACUAUGACCUAUCAAUCUUAUGAUAAAAGCACUGUGAGUCAUUCAUAGAUUAACAGAAGUCACUUAUGUCUAUGAAUAACUCUGCCCUCUGUUUUUCAUCAGAAGCAAAGCAAAACAUCUGAACUAUCCACAAGUAUUACUCAUGGUUUGUGACAUUCUGUAAACCGGCAUAGGUCGCUGUAUAAAGAACAAUACUUGGGCUCUUGCCUCUGAAGAAUGAAAAAUCACAGACAUAGCUUCAGGAGUGCGAGGGAUCUGGGCAGCUCGGAGUCCUCCAACCAGCCCCAGAGUACUCUAUUCCACUCCAUGUCGUACCAAGAAAGAUGGAACGACUGCUAACCAAGGGGACACUUUCACAAGCAUUCCUCCUGCUACCUUUGAUUUGAGGCAUUCUGAAGACAACACAUUUAUUCUGAACAAUAAAACAACUUUUUAAUGCACUCCACUUUCUUUGGCCAGAAUUAUCCUAUUGUAAAAGGGACUAUUCACGUCUUGUGUUUUAAUGUUAAUAAAGUUAUUU